AUGCUGCCGGCGGACUGCUCGCGCCGGUGAGGCCUGCGCGGCAGGAGGGGGCGGGAGGAUGCGGGCGGGCCGGUAGCCAGGCGCGGGGCCCGAGGCCCGACGCUGGCCGAGGUGCUGAGCCGCCGGUGCGUCCCCCAGGCUGGUGGCCGAGCUGCAGGGAGCCCUGGACGCCUGCGCACAGCGACAAUUGCAAUUGGAGCAGAGCCUGCGCGUUUGCCGUCGGCUGCUGCAUGCCUGGUACGCGGACCCCGGGACCCACUGGCCAGACCUCCCUCGGGCCCUCAGAGUCCCGCCCCGAGCGCCCAGGGCUGGGAGACCGGGCGCAGCCGCCCACUUCGGAGCUGUAGGUUGUCAGUGCCACCCUCCUUACCCUGCAGGCUCUGAGCUGGGGGCCUGCCGCGGGGCCCGGCGGCCCCCUCGGGUCUGUUUGGGCUGGGCCCUGCCUCCUGGCCGUGCGACGGCUGCCCAUGUCUUUGCAGGGAACCAACUGGGACCCGGGCUUUGAAGCCACGUCCAGGGCCAGAAACUAAUGAAGAGGACCCCCUUCCAGCAUGCACACCUAGUCCACAAGACCUCAAAGAGUUGGAGUUUCUGACCCAGGCACUGGAGAAGGCUGUACGAGUUCGAAGAGGCAUCACUAAGGCUGGAGAAAGAGACAAGGCCCCCAGCCUGAAAUCUAGGCCCAUUGUCACCUCUUCUGGCACGACAGUCUCCGCCCCACCCCAUUCCCCAGGCCAAGCUGGUGGCCAUGCUUCAGACAGGAGACCCACCAAGGGCCUCUGCCAGACCACGGUGCCUGCCAAGGGCCACCCUGAGCGCCGGCUGCUGUCAGUGGGGGAUAGGACCCGUGUUGGGAUGGGAGCCCGAACCCCCAGGCCUGGGGCGGGCCUCAGGGACCAGCAAAUGGCCCCAUCCGCUGCUCCUCAGGCCCCAGAAGCCUUCACACUCAAGGAGAAGGGGCACCUGCUGCGGCUGCCUGCGGCAUUCAGGAAAGCAGCUUCCCAGAACUCGAGCCUGUGGGCCCAGCUCAGUU
Molecule: small RNA, 1033 nt
Filed under: Pan troglodytes (chimpanzee)
Lineage: Eukaryota; Metazoa; Chordata; Mammalia; Primates; Hominidae
Description: retained intron
Source: RNAcentral